UAAAGAAUUUCGGUAUGGGAUGGGGAUGCGUUCCAUUAGUUAGUUGGCGGGGUAACGGCCCACCAAGACAACGAUGGAUAGGGGUUCUGAGAGGAAGGUCCCCCACAUUGGAACUGAGACACGGUCCAAACUCCUACGGGAGGCAGCAGUGAGGAAUAUUGGUCAAUGGACGAGAGUCUGAACCAGCCAAGUAGCGUGAAGGGUGACUGCCCUACGGGUUGUAAACUUCUUUUAUAUGGGAAUAAAAUGUUCCACGUGUGGGAUUUUGUAUGUACCAUAUGAAUAAGGAUCGGCUAACUCCGUGCCAGCAGCCGCGGUAAUACGGAGGAUCCGAGCGUUAUCCGGAUUUAUUGGGUUUAAAGGGAGCGUAGGUGGAUUGUUAAGUCAGUUGUGAAAGUUUGCGGCUCAACCGUAAAAUUGCAGUUGAAACUGGCAGUCUUGAGUACAGUAGAGGUGGGCGGAAUUCGUGGUGUAGCGGUGAAAUGCUUAGAUAUCACGAAGAACUCCGAUUGCGAAGGCAGCUCACUGGACUGCAACUGACACUGAGGCUCGAAAGUGUGGGUAUCAAACAGGAUUAGAUACCCUGGUAGUCCACACAGUAAACGAUGAAUACUCGCUGUUUGCGAUAUAUGCAA
Molecule: ribosomal RNA, 635 nt
Filed under: uncultured bacterium
Lineage: Bacteria
Description: bacterial SSU rRNA
Rfam family: Bacterial small subunit ribosomal RNA
Source: RNAcentral